RNAcentral lists this ribosomal RNA (480 nucleotides) under uncultured bacterium. Its description in RNAcentral is "bacterial SSU rRNA". It matches the Rfam family "Bacterial small subunit ribosomal RNA", at positions 28 to 524 of the family's 1533-position model. The record is from RNAcentral.
GACGAACGCUGGCGGCGUGCUUAACACAUGCAAGUCGAACGGAAAGGCCCUGCUUUUGUGGGGUGCUCGAGUGGCGAACGGUGAGUAACACGUGAGUAACCUGCCCUUGACUUUGGGAUAACUUCAGGAAACUGGGGCUAAUACCGGAUAGGAGCUCCUGCUGCAUGGUGGGGUUGGAAAGUUUCGGCGGUUGGGGAUGGACUCGCGGCUUAUCAGCUUGUUGGUGGGGUAGUGGCUUACCAAGGCUUUGACGGGUAGCCGGCCUGAGAGGGUGACCGGCCACAUUGGGACUGAGAUACGGCCCCGACUCCUACGGGAGGCAGCAGUGGGGAAUAUUGCACAAUGGGCGGAAGCCUGAUGCAGCAACGCCGCGUGCGGGAUGACGGCCUCGGGUUGUAACCGCUUCGCCUGUGACGAAGCGUGAGUGACGGUAAUGGGUAAAGAAGCACCGGCUAACUACGUGCCAGCAGCCGCGGUAAU